RNAcentral lists this ribosomal RNA (518 nucleotides) under Bifidobacterium pseudocatenulatum. RNAcentral describes it as "bacterial SSU rRNA". It matches the Rfam family "Bacterial small subunit ribosomal RNA", at positions 163 to 693 of the family's 1533-position model. The record is from RNAcentral. Lineage: Bacteria; Bacillati; Actinomycetota; Actinomycetes; Bifidobacteriales; Bifidobacteriaceae.
GUAAUGCCGGAUGCUCCGACUCCUCGCAUGGGGUGUCGGGAAAGAUUUCAUCGGUAUGGGAUGGGGUCGCGUCCUAUCAGGUAGUCGGCGGGGUAACGGCCCACCGAGCCUACGACGGGUAGCCGGCCUGAGAGGGCGACCGGCCACAUUGGGACUGAGAUACGGCCCAGACUCCUACGGGAGGCAGCAGUGGGGAAUAUUGCACAAUGGGCGCAAGCCUGAUGCAGCGACGCCGCGUGCGGGAUGACGGCCUUCGGGUUGUAAACCGCUUUUGAUCGGGAGCAAGCCUUCGGGUGAGUGUACCUUUCGAAUAAGCACCGGCUAACUACGUGCCAGCAGCCGCGGUAAUACGUAGGGUGCAAGCGUUAUCCGGAAUUAUUGGGCGUAAAGGGCUCGUAGGCGGUUCGUCGCGUCCGGUGUGAAAGUCCAUCGCUUAACGGUGGAUCUGCGCCGGGUACGGGCGGGCUGGAGUGCGGUAGGGGAGACUGGAAUUCCCGGUGUAACGGUGGAAUGUGUAG